Molecule: ribosomal RNA, 271 nt
Filed under: uncultured bacterium
Lineage: Bacteria
Description: partial 16S ribosomal RNA
Rfam family: Bacterial small subunit ribosomal RNA
Source: RNAcentral
UACGUAGGGGGCUAGCGUUGUCCGGAUUUAUUGGGCGUAAAGAGCGUGUAGGCGGCCAGGCAGGUCCGGUGUGAAAACUCGAGGCUCAACCUCGAGAGGUCGCCGGAAACCAUUUGGCUAGAGUCCGGAAGAGGAGAGUGGAAUUCCUGGUGUAGCGGUGAAAUGCGCAGAUAUCAGGAAGAACACCAAUGGCGAAAGCAGCUCUCUGGGACGGUACUGACGCUGAGACGCGAAAGCGUGGGGAGCGAACAGGAUUAGAUACCCCAGUAGU